AUUGAACGCUGGCGGCAUGCCUAACACAUGCAAGUCGAACGGCAGCACAGCAGUAGCAAUACUGUGGGUGGCGAGUGGCGGACGGGUGAGGAAUACGUCGGAAUCUGCCCAGUCGUGGGGGAUAACUAGCCGAAAGGUUAGCUAAUACCGCAUACGACCGAGAGGUGAAAGCGGGGGACCGCAAGGCCUCGCGCGAUUGGGAUGAGCCGACGUCGGAUUAGCUAGUUGGCGGGGUAAAGGCCCACCAAGGCGACGAUCCGUAGCUGGUCUGAGAGGAUGAUCAGCCACACUGGAACUGAGACACGGUCCAGACUCCUACGGGAGGCAGCAGUGGGGAAUAUUGGACAAUGGGCGCAAGCCUGAUCCAGCAAUGCCGCGUGUGUGAGAAGGCCUCGGUGUAAGCACUUAUCUAGACGAAGACGUGGAGUAAUACUACUGACGUGCUGACGGUACCGUCGUAGGAAGU
This 466-nucleotide ribosomal RNA is filed under the name uncultured bacterium. RNAcentral describes it as "bacterial SSU rRNA". It matches the Rfam family "Bacterial small subunit ribosomal RNA", at positions 29 to 491 of the family's 1533-position model. The record is from RNAcentral.